This 92-nucleotide non-coding RNA is filed under the name bovine gut metagenome. The record is from RNAcentral.
GAUAGGGGAGCUGGCGCACGCCGGCUGAGAUUGGGUCCAUCGCGGCCCUGACCCUCCAACCUGAUCUGGGUAAUGCCAGCGUAGGGAGACUG